GUCAGUGGCGUAGCCAGGGUUGGAACGAUGUGGAUGCAAACUGUCGCCGAGCGGAACGAGGCGAAAAAUUUUUGGGACUUUUUGAUGAAGAAAAUUAAAUUUUUCCUGUAUGCAUGUCAGUGUAUUCCCCUAGAAUCCGACACUGGUUAGAUUUUCGUUUAAUUUCAAAAUACCCACCAGUAUACAUUAUAUUUCCAACAGAAUUU
RNAcentral lists this long non-coding RNA (206 nucleotides) under Mytilus galloprovincialis (Mediterranean mussel). The record is from RNAcentral. Lineage: Eukaryota; Metazoa; Mollusca; Bivalvia; Mytilida; Mytilidae.